UACGGAGGGGGCUAGCGUUGUUCGGAAUUACUGGGCGUAAAGCGCACGUAGGCGGAUCGGAAAGUUGGGGGUGAAAUCCCGGGGCUCAACCUCGGAACUGCCUUCAAAACUACUGGUCUUGAGUUCGAGAGAGGUGAGUGGAAUUCCGAGUGUAGAGGUGAAAUUCGUAGAUAUUCGGAGGAACACCAGUGGCGAAGGCGGCUCACUGGCUCGAUACUGACGCUGAGGUGCGAAAGCGUGGGGAGCAAACAGGAUUAGAUACCCCCGUAGUCC
This 273-nucleotide ribosomal RNA is filed under the name uncultured bacterium. RNAcentral describes it as "partial 16S ribosomal RNA". It matches the Rfam family "Bacterial small subunit ribosomal RNA", at positions 524 to 796 of the family's 1533-position model. The record is from RNAcentral.